CAAGUAUGCCAGAUGGUCGCGGGCACGGUACGAAAGAAAGUGUCUGAGGAAAGUCCGGGCUCCGCAGGGCAGGAUGCCGGUUAACGGCCGGUGAAGGUGACUUCAAGGAAAGUGCAACAGAAAACAACCGCCCGCGCAUGCGGGUAAGGGUGAAAAGGCGAGGUAAGAGCUCACCGCCGCGGU
RNAcentral lists this RNase P RNA (183 nucleotides) under Clostridia bacterium. Its description in RNAcentral is "partial RNase P RNA component class A". It matches the Rfam family "Bacterial RNase P class A", at positions 1 to 187 of the family's 367-position model. From Rfam's summary of the family: Ribonuclease P (RNase P) is a ubiquitous endoribonuclease, found in archaea, bacteria and eukarya as well as chloroplasts and mitochondria. Its best characterised activity is the generation of mature 5'-ends of tRNAs by cleaving the 5'-leader elements of precursor-tRNAs. The record is from RNAcentral. Lineage: Bacteria; Bacillati; Bacillota; Clostridia.